RNAcentral lists this ribosomal RNA (869 nucleotides) under uncultured rumen bacterium. RNAcentral's name for it is "bacterial SSU rRNA". It matches the Rfam family "Bacterial small subunit ribosomal RNA", at positions 8 to 869 of the family's 1533-position model. The record is from RNAcentral.
AGAGUUUGAUCCUGGCUCAGGAUGAACGCUAGCUACAGGCUUAACACAUGCAAGUCGAGGGGCAGCAUGAUCUUAGCUUGCUAAGAUUGAUGGCGACCGGCGCACGGGUGAGUAACGCGUAUCCAACCUUCCCCUUAGUAGGGCAUAGCCCGUAGAAAUGCGGAUUAAUACCCUAUGUUGUAUAUUGAGGACAUCUGAUUUAUACCAAAGGUUCACCGCUAAGGGAUGGGGAUGCGUCUGAUUAGGUAGUCGGCGGGGUAACGGCCCACCGAGCCGACGAUCAGUAGGGGUUCUGAGAGGAAGGUCCCCCACAUUGGAACUGAGACACGGUCCAAACUCCUACGGGAGGCAGCAGUGAGGAAUAUUGGUCAAUGGACGAGAGUCUGAACCAGCCAAGUAGCGUGCAGGAUGACGGCCCUAUGGGUUGUAAACUGCUUUUAUACGGGGAUAAAGUGAGGGACGUGUCCCUUUUUGUAGGUACCGUAUGAAUAAGGACCGGCUAAUUCCGUGCCAGCAGCCGCGGUAAUACGGAAGGUCCGGGCGUUAUCCGGAUUUAUUGGGUUUAAAGGGAGCGCAGGCCGAUGGUUAAGCGUGACGUGAAAUGUAGCCGCUCAACGGCUGAACUGCGUCGCGAACUGGCUGUCUUGAGUGAGUUCGAUGUGGGCGGAAUUCGUGGUGUAGCGGUGAAAUGCUUAGAUAUCACGAAGAACUCCGAUUGCGAAGGCAGCCCACAAGGCCUUUACUGACGCUAAAGCUCGAAGGUGCGGGUAUCGAACAGGAUUAGAUACCCUGGUAGUCCGCACGGUAAACGAUGGAUGCCCGCUGUUUGCGAUAUACUGUGAGCGGCCAAGAGAAGUCGUUAAGCAUCC